Stylophora pistillata is the source of this 529-nucleotide long non-coding RNA. RefSeq lists it as uncharacterized. Lineage: Eukaryota; Metazoa; Cnidaria; Anthozoa; Scleractinia; Pocilloporidae. The record is from RefSeq and is a predicted model, not a curated record.
UUUGCGACUAAAUUUUGGGAAUUACAAGCAAAUUGCAAUGGAUAAUUUUUUUUUUUUAUUUUAAGCCCUGAUAAAACGCGGUAAAAAGAAAGGCGACAAAAUAGCGUUACAGAGACCGGAAGCGAUCAGUUGGAGAAUCCCGUGAAUGACCUUUAUAUCCCAAAAAUCACACAUAGUACGCUUGGGCCGCCUGUGCAACAACUAGUAGCAUUUGCAUCACAAAGGAAAGACUGAUUGCUCCACGCUGGACUCCAUUCGCACUAAGUUGUUAGACAAGAUGACGUUGUGCAGGAACGCAAUCCAAUACACUUCACGAAAUCUAACCAAGAAGGCUGGUACCACGUGUACGGUUUUUCACUAUUCAGUUUUCCGACAUUAGUAUUAUGUUAUUUUUCCUGAUAACUGCAUUCUCAAGACUACGUUAAUAAACCUUAUUUUGUUCGAACAAUAAAUAAACCAGCCAAAACUUGGAAUGAACACAUAUAACUCUAAGUCAUCCGAACUCCUCGCUUCAGUCCCAUUUAGCAAA